RNAcentral lists this ribosomal RNA (468 nucleotides) under uncultured bacterium. Its description in RNAcentral is "partial 16S ribosomal RNA". It matches the Rfam family "Bacterial small subunit ribosomal RNA", at positions 28 to 507 of the family's 1533-position model. The record is from RNAcentral.
GACGAACGCUGGCGGCGUGCUUAACACAUGCAAGUCGAACGGAAAGGCCCUGCUUUUGUGGGGUGCUCGAGUGGCGAACGGGUGAGUAACACGUGAGUAACCUGCCCUUGACUUUGGGAUAACUUCAGGAAACUGGGGCUAAUACCGGAUAGGAGCUCCUGCUGCAUGGUGGGGGUGGGAAAGUUUGGGCGGUUGGGGAUGGACUCGCGGCUUAUCAGCUUGUUGGUGGGGUAGUGGCUUACCAAGGCUUUGACGGGUAGCCGGCCUGAGAGGGUGACCGGCCACAUUGGGACUGAGAUACGGCCCAGACUCCUACGGGAGGCAGCAGUGGGGAAUAUUGCACAAUGGGCGGAAGCCUGAUGCAGCAACGCCGCGUGCGGGAUGACGGCCUUCGGGUUGUAAACCGCUUUCGCCUGUGACGAAGCGUGAGUGACGGUAAUGGGUAAAGAAGCACCGGCUAACUACGUG